Molecule: ribosomal RNA, 408 nt
Filed under: Fusobacteriota bacterium
Lineage: Bacteria; Fusobacteriati; Fusobacteriota
Description: Fusobacteria bacterium partial 16S ribosomal RNA
Rfam family: Bacterial small subunit ribosomal RNA
Source: RNAcentral
UGGGGAAUAUUGCACAAUGGACGGAAGUCUGAUGCAGCAACGCCGCGUGCGGGAUGACGGCCUUCGGGUUGUAAACCGCUUUUUCUCAUGACGAAGUUUUUUGACGGUAGUGGGGGAAGAAGCACCGGCUAACUACGUGCCAGCAGCCGUGGUGAUACGUAGGGUGCGAGCGUUGUCCGGAAUUAUUGGGCGUAAAGAGCUUGUAGGCGGUUUGUCGCGUCGAUAGUGCAAACUCAGUGCUUAACGCUGAGCCUGCUGUUGAUACGGGCAGACUAGAGGAAGGUAGGGGAGAAUGGAAUUCCCGGUGGAGCGGUGGAAUGCGCAGAUAUCGGGAGGAACACCGGUGGCGAAGGCGGUUCUCUGGGCCUUUCCUGACGCUGAGAAGCGAAAGCGUGGGGAGCGAACAGG